Non-coding RNA from Mycena leptocephala, 103 nucleotides. The record is from the annotation of a GenBank genome assembly. NCBI's taxonomy places the organism in Eukaryota, Fungi, Basidiomycota, Agaricomycetes, Agaricales, Mycenaceae.
UCCGGUAUGGUGCAACGGCAACAUUGCUGCGAUGGAUGACGAUUCGCCUUAUGGGUGAAACGAACUUGCGCGGUAGAUCGGGGUUCGAUUCCCCGUACCGGAA